This 911-nucleotide unclassified non-coding RNA is filed under the name Hevea brasiliensis (rubber tree). The record is from RNAcentral. Lineage: Eukaryota; Viridiplantae; Streptophyta; Magnoliopsida; Malpighiales; Euphorbiaceae.
CAAAGCCAGGGUCUAGGCAUAUCUACCUGGAGGAUAUAAUGCGUUUCAUGCAAGAAGAUGAGGCUUUAAAGACUAUGGGUCUUUUUGAAGGAGCNNNAAAGCAAGAAAAUUAGCAAGUCAUGUUUGAAAAAUUGGGUGGUUAAUGCUUUUAGAGAACGGAGAGCACUUGCUUUGACAUUGAAUGAUACAAAAACGGCUGUGAACAAGCUGCAUCGAAUGGUGAACGUUUUGGUUGGGAUCCUUAUAACUAUUAUUUGGCUUCUCAUACUAGGAAUUGCUACAAGCAAAUUUCUUGUUUUUAUAAGCUCCCAACUCCUCCUUGUGGCAUUUAUAUUUGGAAACACCUGCAAAACAGUAUUUGAAUCUAUUAUCUUCUUGUUUGUGAUUCACCCUUUUGACGUGGGUGACCGUUGUGAAGUUGAUGGAGUUCAGAUGGUAGUGGAAGAGAUGAACAUUUUAACUACUGUUUUCCUAAGAUAUGACAACCAGAAGAUUAUAAUUGCAAACAGUGUUCUCGCUACCAAAGCCAUCAGUAACUACUAUUAGUCCUGACAUGGGAGAUGCUGUUGAGUUCCUCAUUCACCUUGCUACGCCAGCUGAAAAGAUUGCUGUUAUUAAGCAAAGGAUAACUUGUUAUGUGGAGAACAAAAAGGAACACUGGUAUCCUUCACCCAUGAUCAUAUUCAAGGAUGUGGAAGACCUGAAUAGGGUGCGAAUAGCAGUGUGGUUAACCCAUACAAUGAACCACCAAGACAUGGGAGAGAGGUUUACAAGGAGAGCCCUCUUGCUUGAAGAGAUGGUUAAAAUUUUCAGGGAGCUUGACAUCCAGUAUCGCCUGCUUCCUCUUGAUAUCAAUGUUCGUGCAUUGCCUCCUGUGUCGUCAGAACGUGUGCCUCCUAGUUGGAUGAUCU